Molecule: long non-coding RNA, 546 nt
Organism: Rhinichthys klamathensis goyatoka
Lineage: Eukaryota; Metazoa; Chordata; Actinopteri; Cypriniformes; Leuciscidae
Exons: 2
Source: RefSeq, a predicted model, not a curated record
AUUAAUGUUUUUACUCAACAUUUGUGCAGUUUUUGGAGGAUUUAUGAUAUAUUUUAAAUAUCUAUAAAUAAAUAAAUACAUAUUUAUUUAUCAUUGGACUCAAAAUAGACAAAAUUCAUCAUUUUUUCAUCAGAAAUAACGCAGAACACAGACAGAAAUGACAGAAAUAAAGUGGCACACUUCCAACAAGGCAAAAAACAUCCACAAUCCAAAAUUAUCAUGCUCACACACCCGCACACACACACAAACACACACAUAUAGAGGAAUACUAUAUACAGGAAUACAUACAGACUAUAAAAACUGUUCUCUUAUCAUUUGUAAAAUAAAAUAAUCUAAAAUGCAGAACCACCGCAAAAAUAAAUUGGUAACACUAAGACACAUUGAAAAUGUGCACACACACACACACACUCACACACAGGAAUACAUUUGUAAGGCCAUAAAAAAGUCUUAUAAUUUAUGAGACCAACUAUUGUUCUAUUGUUCCAAACUAUUGUUCCUAGUUGUUCGAUUUUCUUCCCCAUUUACUGUUUUUUUUUUUUUUACAAA